CAAAAUGUUAUAGAGACCCUUCCAAAAAAAUAGUAUCAAUUAAUACCAGGAGACAAAACCCUCUCCCUUCGUUACAUUGAAGACCAGCCAAAUGUUCCACAAUCUGAUUGCAAAGCAAAGAGCUAUAAAAACUUGCUCCUACAUUAAUAAGUCAGAUACUAAAAUUCAUACUACCUCCAGAUACCGGCCUACUUAUUCUUCACCGUUAUCCCAAGCUCCCCUGCAACAAUCACAGUAGUCGCCAUAUCCAGAAACAUCCCAUGCUCCACAACACCAGCAAGCUGCAAAAUCGCAUCGCUCGCCGCCUUCAAAUCCCCA
RNAcentral lists this long non-coding RNA (318 nucleotides) under Fragaria vesca (wild strawberry). Its description in RNAcentral is "long non-coding RNA (FVES_LNC002041)". Lineage: Eukaryota; Viridiplantae; Streptophyta; Magnoliopsida; Rosales; Rosaceae. The record is from RNAcentral.